GUUGGGAGUUCAGUCGGCUUAAAAGGAGAGGGAGGGGCUUUGAGGGGCUUGGGGGGGGGGCAUCCUUUCUGUUUAGAUUUCUUAAGGGCUGUGUGUGUGUGUGCGUGUGUACAUGCAUGCAAAAUAUUUCAAGUCCCUCCAGCUAGGUUCUCUCUGCCCCUCCCAUCCCACACGGCGAGACUUUUCUGCUUUUCAUUCAGCAGAGACCAAUCUGUUGCCUGCAAAUCACACCAACAUUGAAGCUUCUUUAAAAAGGAAAACGAAAAACGAAGAAGAAAAAGAAACUGUCUCAGGAAUUACCGAAACAACUUCAGAGACAUGAAGAAAUUUGCAAUUUGCCAGUGACUGCAUAAAAGAAAAUGAAGUCCCAUUAAUAGGAUCUGUCGAAAAACAACUUGCGUCAAUCGAUCGAUGAGAUGCAAGCAACUCCUAACCUUCCCUCUUAUUUCAAGAGGAUAUUGUCUGUCUCAGAAUGUCUGUGUUUGUGUAUGUAUAUAAGAGAGCACAAGUUCUCAAGUUCUUUUGAGACAGCUUCUCCUACUACUAUCAGAAAUACAUAAAGGACUUCUGAAACUACUACUGAAUUUCUUUUCCUU
RNAcentral lists this long non-coding RNA (596 nucleotides) under Salvator merianae (Argentine black and white tegu). RNAcentral describes it as "lncRNA (ENSSMRG00000022265.1)". The record is from RNAcentral. Lineage: Eukaryota; Metazoa; Chordata; Lepidosauria; Squamata; Teiidae.